UAACAAGGAUUCCCCUAGUAACGGCGAGUGAAGCGGGAAAAGCUCAAGCUUAAAAUCGGUUAAUUUGAAAUAGUUGAUCGAGUUGUAGCUUUUGAAAGCAGAUUUAGCUAUUAUUUAUGGUAAAAGUUCUUUUGAAUAAGACAUCAAAGAGGGUGAAAAUCCCGUCAUUGACCAUAAGAACGAUAAUAGUUUACAAACUGUUUUUCUUGAGUCGGGUAGUUUGGGAAUGCUGCCCUAAUUGGGAGGUAAAUUUCUUCCAAAGCUAAAUAUUAGCAAGAGACCGAUAGCAAACAAGUACCGUGAGGGAAAGAUGAAAAGCACUUUGAAAAGAGAGUGAAAAGUACGUGAAAUUGUUGAAAGGGAACCGGUUAGUAGCCAAGGUUUCUAAGUUUGGAAUUUCUGAAUUUGGAGGGUCAACAUGGGUUAGUUUUGUUGGAAAGGAUUUAAAGAAGGUUCGAAUUUGACAUUAGUUGAAUUUGGUUAUAGCUUUAAUGAACUGCAAUGGAAUUGACCGAGGUCGAUAGUGAGCGUAAGCGAGUUUUUGAUGUUUGAACUUUGGGGAGUUUUGUUAAACAGCAUGCUGGUUAAUGGAAUGUUUCUGGAGGUAGGAUGUUGAGAAACUAAAUCACUUUGGAUGUUGCGAAAA
Molecule: ribosomal RNA, 646 nt
Filed under: Furculomyces boomerangus
Lineage: Eukaryota; Fungi; Kickxellomycota; Harpellomycetes; Harpellales; Harpellaceae
Description: eukaryotic LSU rRNA
Rfam family: Eukaryotic large subunit ribosomal RNA
Source: RNAcentral